Rhinopithecus roxellana (golden snub-nosed monkey) is the source of this 367-nucleotide long non-coding RNA. RefSeq lists it as uncharacterized. The transcript has 3 exons. Lineage: Eukaryota; Metazoa; Chordata; Mammalia; Primates; Cercopithecidae. The record is from RefSeq and is a predicted model, not a curated record.
CCCGCCAGGGUUGGGUCGUGGCUGCCGGGGCUCCUCGCCAGAAGGCCUCCUGGGCCGCCCUUCCGCUCUCCCGGGGCUGGGCGGCGCUGUCUGGCUCUUCCUGCCGCGCUCUGGCCACUCCCCGCUCCGCCCCUUGCUUGGCCUGGCCGUGGCGGCCUUGCUCUGCAGGCAGUGCUUCCCUCGGGCGUGGGUCUGCAGGAGAGCCGGACAGGGCAGCGGCCGGCACUACCGCGCCGCGAUUUGCGCAGAGCUGAAGAAGACCCUGACCACUGAAGAGGUGGACCCCCGCCCCGUCGGGCUCACGAGGGUCUCACUCUGUCACCCAGGCUGGAGUGCAGUGGCAUGAUCAUGGCUCACUGCAACCUUG